CUGGCGGCGUGCCUAACACAUGCAAGUCGAGCGGGGACGCGUUUGGAAGUUUCGGAUGGAAGAAGUGUGUUCUAGCGGCGGACGGGUGAGUAACGCGUGAGCAACCUGUCCCUCACAGGGGAAUAACGCAUCGAAAGGUGUGCUAAUACCGCAUGAGACCACGGUACCGACAUGGUACAGGGGUUAAAGGAGCAAUCCGGUGAGGGGUGGGCUCGCGUCUGAUUAGCUAGUUGGUGAGGUAACGGCUCACCAAGGCGACGAUCAGUAGCCGACCUGAGAGGGUGAUCGGCCACAUUGGAACUGAGAAACGGUCCAAACUCCUACGGGAGGCAGCAGUGGGGAAUAUUGGGCAAUGGGCGAAAGCCUGACCCAGCAACGCCGCGUGAAGGAAGAAGGUUUUCGGAUCGUAAACUUCUAUCCUAGGUGAAGAUAAUGACGGUAGCCUAGAAGGAAGCCCCGGCUAACUACGUGCCAGCCGCCGC
This 482-nucleotide ribosomal RNA is filed under the name uncultured bacterium. RNAcentral describes it as "bacterial SSU rRNA". It matches the Rfam family "Bacterial small subunit ribosomal RNA", at positions 36 to 518 of the family's 1533-position model. The record is from RNAcentral.